This 554-nucleotide ribosomal RNA is filed under the name Hygophum benoiti (Benoit's lanternfish). RNAcentral describes it as "partial large subunit ribosomal RNA". It matches the Rfam family "Bacterial large subunit ribosomal RNA", at positions 1854 to 2606 of the family's 2925-position model. The record is from RNAcentral. Lineage: Eukaryota; Metazoa; Chordata; Actinopteri; Myctophiformes; Myctophidae.
CCCGCCUGCCCAGUGACAGUGUUUAACGGCCGCGGUAUUUUGACCGUGCAAAGGUAGCACAAUAAAUUGUCUCUUAAUUGGAGAACGGUAUGAAUGGCAUCACGAGGGCUUAACUGUCUCCCCUCUAAAGUCAAUGAAAUUGAUCUCCCCGUGCAGAAGCGGGGAUACACUCGUAAGACGAGAAGACCCUAUGGAGCUUUAGACAUAAGCCAGCCCACGUCAAACGCCCCUAGUAAAGGAAAUGAACAAAAUGGCCCCUGAUGGUAUGUCUUCGGUUGGGGCGACCACGGAGAAAGACAAAACCUCCACAUGGGCUGGGGCUACUACGCCCUAAAACACAGACCCACAGGUCAAAUAAACAGUACAUCUGACCAUAAAAGAGCCGGCAUAAGCCGAUCAAUGGACCAAGUUACCCUAGGGAUAACAGCGCAAUCCUCUCAAAGAGACCAUAUCGACGAGGGGGUUUACGACCUCGAUGUUGGAUCAGGACAUCCUAAUGGUGCAGCCGCUAUUAAGGGUUCGUUUGUUCAACGAUUAACAGUCCUACGUGAUCU